CGUGCCCUCACUCGCGCCUCUUUUCAUCUCUUGCGGCCGACGCCGGCCCUAACUGUCCGCGGCAGUUCCUUUCCUCUCCCCAUCGCACCGACUUCUUCUUCCUCCCCCCGAGUCGAACUCCUCUCCUCUUCUGCCCUAGCCUUUGCACAGCGUCACCGCUGCCCUCUCUGGACCGAAGCAGCGCCGGCCACCGCGACUCCCUCCUUUCUUCUUCCCGAGACCUUGCCGGCCACUAGGUUCGACCUAGCGCCACCGCCCCUCUCCGAUCUCCUCUGUGUCGGCCUCCUCCACACCGUGCCCUAAUUCCCCGAUCUCCUCUCAUCAGAGUCGAGCCUUCCUCACAGCGACUCGUGCCCUAGAUCACCGGGGAUAGGGAGUGUGCGCCGAGGACAAGGUUGAUCACCAAGUUCUAUCGUGCCAUCUACAAACCCUUCUUUGGUCCGGUGCCACCAGAUUGAGUCAGUGCCUUCUUCCGUGCUUCCACGCGAUAAUGGAUCUGUGCCAUCAUUGGUCCUUGCACUGUUGACACUUAUCUGUGUGAGGCAAGGUUUUGUUCUGUGGGAUUUCUGGUAGAAAUUCCCUCCAGUAGCACCUGGUUUCCACAGCGACUGUGAUUUGAGGGUUUUGACGCGAGACGAGUAUCUCGAUUACCGGAUUGGACCACUUUAU
Long non-coding RNA from Zingiber officinale, 669 nucleotides. RefSeq lists it as uncharacterized. NCBI's taxonomy places the organism in Eukaryota, Viridiplantae, Streptophyta, Magnoliopsida, Zingiberales, Zingiberaceae. The record is from RefSeq and is a predicted model, not a curated record. The transcript is spliced from 3 exons.